UUCCUACGGGAGGCAGCAGUGAGGAAUAUUGGUCAAUGGCCGGAAGGCUGAACCAGCCAAGCCGCGUGAAGGACGAAGGUGCCAAGCAUUGUAAACUUCUUUUGUCAAGGGACAAAAUCAGGCUCGAGAGCCUGACCGAGGGUACUUGAAGAAAAAGCAUCGGCUAACUCCGUGCCAGCAGCCGCGGUAAUACGGAGGAUGCGAGCGUUAUCCGGAUUUAUUGGGUUUAAAGGGUGCGUAGGCGGACUGGAAAGUCAGCGGUAAAAUCGAGAGGCUCAACCUCUUUCCGCCGUUGAAACUGUCGG
This 305-nucleotide ribosomal RNA is filed under the name uncultured bacterium. RNAcentral's name for it is "bacterial SSU rRNA". It matches the Rfam family "Bacterial small subunit ribosomal RNA", at positions 336 to 639 of the family's 1533-position model. The record is from RNAcentral.